CUAGACAUUGGAGAUUAUGAGGUAAUUCUUGCUAGUUGAUUUUACCUAUCUUUGUUAGCAAAUUCUAGAGCUUGAAUUUAUUGUGGUAGUUGAUAAAGCUGAUCCUUUCAAUGUAUAUAUUAAAUCUUAUUGCAUAUGAUUUCAGAUGAGAAUUAGAUGAUAUGAUAAAUGCAUAAAUGUCAUGGAUUCUUAAAAUGAUAAUGAAAUUCGAGUUCUGGAUCUGGAUCAAAGUUCUAUAUUAUCGGUUAUUACUGACCCAGACAAAUAAAAUGGGUUGAUACUUAAUAAGUUGUAUAGUGGCUGUUCUUUCAUUUCUACACAGUUCAGGUUAAUGCGGCUAGCAUUAGAAUCCAACCACAUUUGGGGUACCAUUAGACUGCGUAAAGGCUGAUUCUUCCCUUUCCUUUGCUUGUUGUGGUAUAGAACUUGCUGGAACUGCUAUCUCUGAGUGGUUCAUUGCAUUUUUUGUUUACUUCUUGGGAGAUAAUUUUGAGCCAUCAAAAUAAUUUCAGUGCUGAUACAAAUGUGCAUUUUUUUUUUUGUAAAAAACAUUUUUAAUGUGACAGGUUAAAUUGAAUCAUCGGAAGUUGUUGGAUGGUAUGCUAGAAAUUUGUGGAGUGCCACCUGAAAAGUUUCGUACUAUUUGUUCAAGCAUUGACAAACUAGACAAGCAAUCCUUUGAACAAGUUAAAAAAGAAAUGGUUGAGGAGAAGGGAUUAAAUGUUGAGACAGCAGACA
This 738-nucleotide unclassified non-coding RNA is filed under the name Hevea brasiliensis (rubber tree). The record is from RNAcentral. Lineage: Eukaryota; Viridiplantae; Streptophyta; Magnoliopsida; Malpighiales; Euphorbiaceae.